Molecule: long non-coding RNA, 227 nt
Organism: Herpailurus yagouaroundi (jaguarundi)
Lineage: Eukaryota; Metazoa; Chordata; Mammalia; Carnivora; Felidae
Exons: 2
Source: RefSeq, a predicted model, not a curated record
UCUCGCGAGAUUGCCUCUGCCGCGACUCUUCUCUCUCUCCAGUCUUUUUGGUUCUCACCUCUUUCAGUCCCGGUUUAGGUGCAGUUUUAUCUAGUGCCACCUUUGCUGCUCCAGCUCCAUUCCCAGAAAGUCCCUGUGAUGCAGCUUUGGCGAAAUUUCCACCAGGGGCCCAACUAGUAGGUGCUUUAGAAGUCUUUGCUGUAAAAUAAUGAAUGAAUCUAAAGCCA